This is a non-coding RNA of Mycena latifolia, 90 nucleotides long. The record is from the annotation of a GenBank genome assembly. NCBI's taxonomy places the organism in Eukaryota, Fungi, Basidiomycota, Agaricomycetes, Agaricales, Mycenaceae.
AGCAGCAUGGUGUAUUCUGCACACGGGGUCUCUUUAGUCAGAUCCACACAAAAUCACCCCGAGGUCCUUGUUCAAAUCAAGGUGCUGCUC